UACUUAGGGUGCAAGCGUUAAUCGGAAUUACUGGGCGUAAAGCGCUCGUAGGCGGCUUGUUAAGUCGGAUGUGAAAUCCCCGGGCUCAACCUGGGAACUGCAUUCGAUACUGGCAAGCUAGAGUAUAGUAGAGGCAAGUGGAAUUCCGGGUGUAGCGGUGAAAUGCGUAGAUAUCAGGAGGAACAUCAGUGGCGAAGGCGACUGUCUGGACCAAUACUGACGCUGAGGUGCGAAAGCGUGGGGAGCAAACAGGAUUAGAAACCCCAGUAGUCC
RNAcentral lists this ribosomal RNA (273 nucleotides) under uncultured bacterium. Its description in RNAcentral is "partial 16S ribosomal RNA". It matches the Rfam family "Bacterial small subunit ribosomal RNA", at positions 524 to 796 of the family's 1533-position model. The record is from RNAcentral.